Non-coding RNA from Acanthosepion pharaonis, 88 nucleotides. Lineage: Eukaryota; Metazoa; Mollusca; Cephalopoda; Sepiida; Sepiidae. The record is from the annotation of a GenBank genome assembly.
CAUUGAAAUACCGGUUCUCAUAUGUUCAUCAAAGUUAAGCAACAUCGGGCAUGAUCAGUACCUGGAUGAGUGACUGCUUGGGAAUACC